This 254-nucleotide ribosomal RNA is filed under the name uncultured bacterium. RNAcentral describes it as "partial 16S ribosomal RNA". It matches the Rfam family "Bacterial small subunit ribosomal RNA", at positions 524 to 776 of the family's 1533-position model. The record is from RNAcentral.
UACGGGGGGAGCAAGCGUUGUUCGGAUUUACUGGGCGUAAAGGGCGCGUAGGCGGCCACCGCAAGUCGACUGUGAAAUCUCCGGGCUUAACCCGGAAAGGUCAGCCGAUACUGCGGGGCUAGAGUGCAGAAGGGGCAACUGGAAUUCUCGGUGUAGAGGUGAAAUUCGUAGAUAUUCGGAAGAACACCAGUGGCGAAGGCGACUUACUGGACACAUAUUGACGCUGAGGUGCGAAAGCGUGGGGAGCAAACAGG